This 72-nucleotide transfer RNA is filed under the name Camelus bactrianus (Bactrian camel). It matches the Rfam family "tRNA". Rfam says of the family: Transfer RNA (tRNA) molecules are approximately 80 nucleotides in length. Their secondary structure includes four short double-helical elements and three loops (D, anti-codon, and T loops). RNAcentral also lists the same sequence under 2 other names. The record is from Rfam by way of RNAcentral. Lineage: Eukaryota; Metazoa; Chordata; Mammalia; Artiodactyla; Camelidae.
GUGGGUAUAGCUCAGUGGUAGAGCACAUGCUUAGCAUGCAUGAGGUCAUGGGUUAAAUCCCCAGUACUUCCA